UCCUUGGUGGCUCAGCAAUAAAGAAUCUGCCUGCCAAGCAGGAGACCCAGGUUUGAUUCAUGGACCAGGAA
Molecule: transfer RNA, 71 nt
Organism: Ovis aries (sheep)
Lineage: Eukaryota; Metazoa; Chordata; Mammalia; Artiodactyla; Bovidae
Rfam family: tRNA
About the family: Transfer RNA (tRNA) molecules are approximately 80 nucleotides in length.
Source: Rfam